Molecule: small nuclear RNA, 107 nt
Organism: Cercocebus atys (sooty mangabey)
Lineage: Eukaryota; Metazoa; Chordata; Mammalia; Primates; Cercopithecidae
Source: Ensembl
GUGCUCUGCUUGGCAGCACAUAUGCAAAAAUAGGAAAGAUACAGAGAAGAUUAGCAUGGCCCUUAUGCAAGGAUGACACACACAUUUAUGAAGCAUUUUAUAUUUUU